This is a long non-coding RNA of Drosophila teissieri, 1451 nucleotides long. RefSeq lists it as uncharacterized. NCBI's taxonomy places the organism in Eukaryota, Metazoa, Arthropoda, Insecta, Diptera, Drosophilidae. The transcript has 5 exons. The record is from RefSeq and is a predicted model, not a curated record.
UCCUACCCUUCCAUUCAGCUGUCAAGUGUUUGUUGUUUCAAAUUCAGUAAAGUUUCGAGUUUUUCAGGCCAAUGAGCGGACGUAAGCCAGUCCGGACUCAAGAAGUGGCCACGUGAGCACCGCACUUUGGACCACAGAUCCAGAUCAUGAUGGGGACAACGGACUUCGAAUAUCCUUCUAUGCCCCGCUGCCAGCGGUGACUGACUAUCUCCGGAUUUACCACACCACCACCACCACCGCCACCGGACACCGACACCUUUGUGACGUAAGGACUCCGACUAGAGGGUACGACGGUCCGAUUUGGAGCCGCCGUCUGAGAACAGUGUAAAACACCAUAAAAAGUGAGAUAUCCCAAAGCAUUUUAAUCCACGUAAAAUCGAACAAUGGUUGCGUUUUCUUUGCCAACAGUGUGACGCUGUUCCUAGCCUUUACGGCUAGGAAAGGACAUAUAUAUCGCAAAAACAAUUCGUUUUAGAUUACACGGGAACCAACGACCUCGAUUUCGACCAGGCCAGAGAGUACGUGGAGAAGGUGUAGGUCUUUUACAGGCACGCAGGCAAGCAGGAGAGCGCUGGAGAAACCUCCAGCUACAACUAAGAAGUUGCUUCAAUCAGGUCCAACUCACUCAGAUGCGAAAGCCAAUAGCAAGUCUUUAGCGAGCAGGCCAUGCUGUUUAGGGACCUCUCCUACCGGUCUAUCCAGGAGUUGAAGGACAUACGAGACACCUUAUUUUUUUCUGUAAAACCUGAUAGAUGUUGGGAAGUUAUUGUUUACAGGAAUCGAAAGUAGAUUAGGAAGCUGAAUUACCGGCGGAAGACCCUUGAAUUUCGUCGCCAACGGGCGUCUUUCAGCGGAGCGAAUUGAAUGCGACAUCAACGCCAUUGGAUUAUUGGCUUAUUUGGAUUUAUUUUUUGAGUGCCAGUUUCCACACGCCAUAAAUCAAACGCUCCAAACUGCCGCCGCUCGGAUUCCGAAUGCAAUUACUCAAUUAAUUUGAAUAUAAUUGUCACAAUUUCCCACUUGAAACCACACAAAGCCAUGAACCGAUGGAUAUAAAACAGAGACACCCAGAAAUUGGGCGCGUUGGCGGGGCAAAUGAAAAACGAGAUCGCAAUUUUAAGCGCACAUCAAAUAAAAAUGUACACAGCGCCUCAAUGGAUUUUCCGAUAAAAUGUCAAAGGCUUUUAUGGAGGAACUGUGCCGCAGUCACUCCGCCAUCCACUUGACAGCAUGGAUCUGGAUCUGUGGCAGUGACAGCAAGAGUGAAAGGCGAAAAGGCUGAGUAAAAAGGCAAAGAACGUGAAGAGUCGACUACAAGAUACCUCUGAAAUCGAGACAAUAAGGUGGAACUAACGAUUUGAUUUACAAAACAAUGUGUGCUAAAGGUACAAUCAGGGCCAAAUUUUACUACUGUGCAAUGCAUUUGCGAGGCCAUUAAAAGCAAUCCGAAU